UGGCGGUUGUAGGAGGCAGGAGGCGAGGUGCAAUGUGUAGGGGAGUGGAAGCUGUGGACCCAGGAGACCCGCUCCCCAGUGGAAAUGUGGGCUGUCCUGGCAGAGAAGCAGAUCAUUUCCUCAAAAUGGAUGUUCCUGGGAUGUCGAUGAAGACAGUACGUCUGAAAGGAACACUGAGGCCCAUCUGCUGGACAGAGCUUCCUGUGCUACUGACUACUGGUACUGCAGUGGUUUAAACACCUCAACUUGCGAUGCUCACAGAAUCUGUUCAUGGUUUGUGAUGAACUGGUGGCAGUGUUUAAUAUCCAUUGAAGGUAAUGAGAGGUCUUGAUGGCUGAGGUCUCCAGAAAUUGAAGAAAAGGGAAAUGUUUCUAUCUCGGGAGCCACGUCCUUAUGUGUAUAAAGCUGAAUCGGGUACCACGUCCUUAUGGAUGUAAAGCUGAGUUGACUGGAAUACCAGUGGCAUGUGCGGUUCUGGUUAACUGAAGAUUCACUAGCAAAUACUCAGUAGUUACUAUUACAGAAAGCUUCUCCAGCCUUUAAAAGUCUGGUAUGCCAGAAAGAAAUCAGUGGAGGAUACAGGGGCUUGAGCCAUCUCAUGCGCCUUCUGUGUUACACUGAACAACUGCAAGUGAAUGUAGCCAGAGAAGGAACAAGAAACAGAAGUUGUUCCUGACAUCAGGAGAUCACCUGGACUAUUAGUGAUAAAUGUGUAUUGUAUUCCAAAAAACCUGUAGAGCUUCAGAAAGGUAUUUCAUGACCUUUGGGGAAGCAGAGAUUUAAUAGAAUGGUAGAAAGCGCUAACAACAAAAUAAAAGGCUGAGAAUCACACUUCAUAAGAAUUUGAAAACUACUGCUCAUCAAAACAUGCUAUUACAAAUAAAUAGCAAGGAUUGAAUGGGAAGAAAAUAUAUAUAUUCUCAUAUAUUUGUAUUAUGUAGGAUAUAUAAACAUACAUGUUCCUAAGUAUUUUCAUAGAGAAUGAAUAUAGCCAGAGUCCACAAGGAAAUGUAUAUGCGCUUCAGCAGCUCGCCAUGCUAAUAAAUGUCUGGAAGCUAAAAGCAACCACUUUGAACACUACUUGUAAUUGCAGAGGCCAAAUGUAACUUGUAUUAAUCUCAUGAUGAAUAUAAUAAAUUUAGUAUUAAAAUAUUUAUACAAGUUUUGCUUUUCCCAAUGUAUACAUUUUUUGGUGGACUCUGUAUAAAAACCCCAAGAUACAUACAGAAGUCCUGCAAUCCAAGAAGAAUUUAAACAGUACAAUGAAAAAUGGCUCAAGACCCUAAAGAGACACUUUCUAAGGGAAGGUAGAUGAAUGGCCAGCAAACACAGGAAACUGCUCCACAGCACUAGUCAUCAGGAAGAUACCACUGCGCAGCCACUACACAUUUCAGAAUGGCUGAAAUGAGACCAGACAAAUCCAAAGGUUAAUGAGGAUAUGGAAUAGCCAUACCUUCCUGCAUGACUGCUGGGAAUAGAGAAUGAUACUGUCCUUUAGAAAUUGGCAGUU
RNAcentral lists this long non-coding RNA (1510 nucleotides) under Heterocephalus glaber (naked mole-rat). Its description in RNAcentral is "lncRNA (ENSHGLG00100038234.1)". The record is from RNAcentral. Lineage: Eukaryota; Metazoa; Chordata; Mammalia; Rodentia; Bathyergidae.